CAAGGAGUAGUUCGAAUAAGAAUACUAGCUUUGGGAGUUAGCGGUGAAGGUUCAAGUCCUUCUUCUUUGA
RNAcentral lists this transfer RNA (70 nucleotides) under Chaetodon modestus (brown banded butterflyfish). RNAcentral describes it as "tRNA-Pro". It matches the Rfam family "tRNA". From Rfam's summary of the family: Transfer RNA (tRNA) molecules are approximately 80 nucleotides in length. Their secondary structure includes four short double-helical elements and three loops (D, anti-codon, and T loops). The record is from RNAcentral. Lineage: Eukaryota; Metazoa; Chordata; Actinopteri; Chaetodontiformes; Chaetodontidae.